UUGAACGCUGGCGGAAUGCUUUACACAUGCAAGUCGAACGGCAGCACGGGGGCAACCCUGGUGGCGAGUGGCGAACGGGUGAGUAAUACCUAGGAACAUGUCCAGUAGUGGGGGAUAACGCAGCGAAAGAUGUGCUAAUACCGCAUACGACCUGAGGGUGAAAGCGGGGGAUCGCAAGACCUCGCGCGACAGGAGCGGCCGAUAUCGGAUUAGCUAGUUGGUGAGGUAAAGGCUCACCAAGGCGACGAUCCGUAGCUGGUCUGAGAGGACGACCAGCCACACUGGAACUGAGACACGGUCCAGACUCCUACGGGAGGCAGCAGUGGGGAAUUUUGGACAAUGGGGGCAACCCUGAUCCAGCCAUUCCGCGUGAGUGAAGAAGGCCUUCGGGUUGUAAAACUCUUUCGGCAGGAACGAAACGGUGAGCUCUAACAUAGCUUGCUAAUGACGGUACCUGAAGAAGAAGCACCGGCUAACUACGU
RNAcentral lists this ribosomal RNA (482 nucleotides) under uncultured bacterium. RNAcentral's name for it is "bacterial SSU rRNA". It matches the Rfam family "Bacterial small subunit ribosomal RNA", at positions 29 to 506 of the family's 1533-position model. The record is from RNAcentral.